This 253-nucleotide ribosomal RNA is filed under the name uncultured bacterium. Its description in RNAcentral is "partial 16S ribosomal RNA". It matches the Rfam family "Bacterial small subunit ribosomal RNA", at positions 524 to 776 of the family's 1533-position model. The record is from RNAcentral.
UACGGAGGAUGCAAGCGUUAUCCGGAAUGAUUGGGCGUAAAGCGUCCGCAGGUGGCUGUGUAAGUCUGCUGUUAAAGAGUGAGGCUCAACCUCAUAAAGGCAGUGGAAACUACAUGGCUAGAGUGCGUUCGGGGCAGAGGGAAUUCCUGGUGUAGCGGUGAAAUGCGUAGAGAUCAGGAAGAACACCGGUGGCGAAAGCGCCCUGCUAGGCCGCAACUGACACUGAGGGACGAAAGCUAGGGGAGCGAAUGGG